This 88-nucleotide transfer RNA is filed under the name Actinomycetales bacterium. Its description in RNAcentral is "tRNA-Leu". It matches the Rfam family "tRNA". Rfam says of the family: Transfer RNA (tRNA) molecules are approximately 80 nucleotides in length. Their secondary structure includes four short double-helical elements and three loops (D, anti-codon, and T loops). Lineage: Bacteria; Bacillati; Actinomycetota; Actinomycetes; Actinomycetales. The record is from RNAcentral.
GGGCGCGUGGUGGAACUGGGAUACACGGCAGACUCAAAACCUGUUUCCUCUUGAGGAAUUGUCGGUUCAACUCCGACCGCGCCUACCA